Molecule: small nuclear RNA, 107 nt
Filed under: Myotis brandtii (Brandt's bat)
Lineage: Eukaryota; Metazoa; Chordata; Mammalia; Chiroptera; Vespertilionidae
Source: RNAcentral
GUGCUCUCUUUGGCAGCACAUAUACUAAAAUUGGAAUGAUACAAAGAAGAUUAGCAUGGCCCCUGCACAAGAAUGACACGCAAAGUCUUGAAGCGUUCCAUGUUUUU